This 509-nucleotide long non-coding RNA is filed under the name Physcomitrium patens. RNAcentral describes it as "long non-coding RNA (PPAT_LNC008931)". Lineage: Eukaryota; Viridiplantae; Streptophyta; Bryopsida; Funariales; Funariaceae. The record is from RNAcentral.
UCACAAAACAGUCAAGAGUAAUCACACUCACUUCAUUAAAAUCCCAAUUUACCAGUACAACACUGACUUCAGCAAGGAUUGCCUCAGUCUUCCCAAAAUCCUAUGAAAAAAAACUCCAAUUCUCUGUCUUUUUUCUCCCUCCCAAAGCAUGAAGCUAGCUCUCCGACCCUUAAAAAACUUAUUCUCCUCCCUUUAUUUCUUAACCUAUCCUCCUCUUUAAUCCUAAUUCUCCCCUCUUUCAAACCCUAGCCUCUAAAUUUCUUCAAUCUUCUACUAAAAAAGAAGUAUCUUACAGUUCCUAGCAAGAUGAGGAUCUGGAAUUGGCUCCGCUGUCAGAGCUUUCUCUUCCGUUUUUACCUUUAAGAGAUCCUUUUACCAAAAGGACGUUUUGGGAAUGGCACAAAGGACGGAACAAUCUAAAACGGAAUCGAAACCCCCAUAAUCGGGACCACAUUGAGUGGCCCGACCAAUUCAGGUCUCAUAUUGGGUAAGAGGCCCAUAAUAGGACC